UACGUAGGUGGCAAGCGUUGUCCGGAAUUAUUGGGCGUAAAGAGCUCGUAGGCGGCCUGUUGCGUCCGCUGUGAAAGCCCGGGGCUUAACCCCGGGUCGGCAGUGGAUACGGGCAGGCUAGAGGUAGGUAGGGGAGAAUGGAAUUCCCGGUGUAGCGGUGAAAUGCGCAGAUAUCGGGAGGAACACCGGUGGCGAAGGCGGUUCUCUGGGCCUUACCUGACGCUGAGGAGCGAAAGCGUGGGGAGCGAACAGG
RNAcentral lists this ribosomal RNA (253 nucleotides) under uncultured bacterium. RNAcentral's name for it is "partial 16S ribosomal RNA". It matches the Rfam family "Bacterial small subunit ribosomal RNA", at positions 524 to 776 of the family's 1533-position model. The record is from RNAcentral.